This 565-nucleotide long non-coding RNA is filed under the name Mytilus galloprovincialis (Mediterranean mussel). The record is from RNAcentral. Lineage: Eukaryota; Metazoa; Mollusca; Bivalvia; Mytilida; Mytilidae.
UGUUGUUCUGUCUCAACCUUAAUUUCUGUAACUUGUCAUCAUUCCUUUUAAACUAUUCUUCCUUGAUAUAACUCAGCAUCUCAACGGGUGAUGUUUCUCGAUUACAUUAACCUAGUUACAAUAAUCAUCAUGGAUCUUUAGUUAUAACAGGCUCUUGCAGAAAAAGGAAAAGCGGCACUGAAGGUAAAGAAGGAAUAAUUCUAGUAAACUAGUUUUUUUGUGAACAGAGUCUGAGUAUUGCAUAUAACUUCAUUAGAACAAUAAAAAAAAAACGAUAAGUAGACUGACAAAUAAAGUACUGGUCUUCGGAAGGGGGCAGUCCUGUCUGCGAAUUCAUUUCUCCGUUUCACCAACUUUUGACAAAUCAAGUACUGGGCAUCGCAAGGGGGCAGUCCUGUCUGCGUAUUCAUUUCACGAACUUUAAACUUUCUCUUUACAGAUAAAUGAAAUAUAAAUAAUAUGAAACAUGAAUGCAUGGAUUAGUUUUUAUCCAUGUUUCUUUAACCUUAAAAAUUGAAAGAAUAUCCCAUAUUCCAAUUUGAUAUUAUUGAGGAAUGGUAGAACC